Coffea arabica (coffee) is the source of this 910-nucleotide long non-coding RNA. RefSeq lists it as uncharacterized. Lineage: Eukaryota; Viridiplantae; Streptophyta; Magnoliopsida; Gentianales; Rubiaceae. The record is from RefSeq and is a predicted model, not a curated record.
ACAUCCAUCGAUGGAAAAUAACUUCCUUAGCCUCUCUUGUGAAGUUAUUUUCCGCAGCCUUCCUUUCAGCCUCGCAAGGACUUUCGACAUCGCAAGGCUUACUUGACAAUACCUUUCAUUCCCGGCAUCUCAUCAGAACCCCCAUUCCCGUUUCCUCCGGCGUCGGUCCUCAGUGGCGAUCACCUCCUCCGGCGACACUAUCUCGUCUUCAUUACAGAAAAGCACAUCGGUAGACCAAGUGCUAGCCUAUUCCUUUUGAACACAAGCAGGGCAGCUUCCCAAGUCAUGAGAUUCCAAGACACUUCUGUCUGCUAUGUUUCUAAUUUACCAACUACAGUCUCCAGUCCAUCCUUCCACCUCUAACCCCGGCCACAAUGCACCAACCAACUUCUUGGCACCUUGGAGAAGUGGCAGCUGCUUUGAACAAAAUUAGUGCAAACAAGCUUGAUGUUAACCAACUACAUGAAGAGAUUUAUGAAGAUAGAAGGCUAUAGCGAAGAAUUUCUGGACUUGGUAUUCUAGCAUUUGGUGCAAAAUGAGAAGCUAGGAAAAGCAUUUAUGGCGAAGAGUCAAAGACUUCGUUUGAUUUCUCUUGAGAGGUUCAAGAAAGAUUGGGGCGUCGAAUAAAAGGGUGAUGCUGUAUAUAUGAAGAUGGCUAUCAUGUGUUUGGCCUUAUUAGAGCCAGGAAAGAGAUUGCAUGUGUGCGAACUUUAGUUUGAGUAAUUAGUUGGGUAGUUUAGCCCCUUUCUCUUGUAAUCAGAUAUGCAGGGCUGAUGUUUCAUUGUCUAAUUAUCAAAUUUGGUUGGAUUCUUGGAAUUGUAUUACGAGUGUGACACUUAUUAUGGAUGCUAGAAUUGCUAAUUAUCUUAUGAUGCAGGUUAUAUAAUACAGCUAGUUUUCGUUUGAUUUU